UGUGUUUAUCUUACAUGACAGGUUGAGAGUGCAAAGUCGUUACUUGAUAAAUUUUCAGUACUUACUCAGCUGCCUCCCGAGUUGGUUCUGCAAAAAAAUAAUUGGGAUUUCCAAUACGCCCUAUAUGACUUCGAAGCAAGAGGUAAACAAAUACCUCGACAGGGGGGUCCCAUAAAUUUUGGACCACAGUCCCAAUACACACAACUCAAUGAAGGGCUUGGGAAACAAACUGAUUAUGUUGUACAAGAGAGCUACAUACCCACCCCACAAGUAAUCGAGGAGAGCUCCAUU
This 291-nucleotide long non-coding RNA is filed under the name Panax ginseng (ginseng). RNAcentral describes it as "long non-coding RNA (PGIN_LNC005023)". Lineage: Eukaryota; Viridiplantae; Streptophyta; Magnoliopsida; Apiales; Araliaceae. The record is from RNAcentral.